This is a non-coding RNA of Schistosoma mattheei, 45 nucleotides long. The record is from Rfam. Lineage: Eukaryota; Metazoa; Platyhelminthes; Trematoda; Strigeidida; Schistosomatidae.
AUUCAGCCGACGAGUCUCAAAUGGGACGAAGCGUGCGUCCUGGAU